CCACCCCGCGCUUCCCGUUCUGCCGUUGAUCAUCGGGAUAAACCCCCGCCGUCACUCCGCUCCCACGCCCACGCGGCGUCCCUCCGAUUGAGGCCCGAUACCACACGCAUCCACCUCCGCCGCCUCGCCUGCGCCGCCGACCCUGGCAUCGCCCCCAAACCGAGCCGCCGUCCGUCGCCUCCAACCCCGCCGGCAACGUCGCCUCCAGCACGCAGACCGGGGACGUCCUCGCCUCCGAUCCAAUCCCGCCGCCGCCGUCGACUACAGCACCCAGACCGGGGACGCCGUCAUCUCCAGCACCCACCCCGGUGCCGCCGUCGUCUCCGGCAUUCGCACCGAGGCCGGCGACGCCUCCAAUCCCACCCCGACGACGUUGUCUCCUGUCCCAGACCGGGGCCACCGUCGCAUCCAACCCAACCCUGGCGCCGCCGUCGCCUCCAACUCCACCCUGGCGUCGCCGCCGUCUCCAGCACGCAGACCCCGGCGCCGCCGCCGUCUCCAGCACCCACCCCGGCCUCAUCCAGUUUCUGGCCAUUUCAUCCAUGAGAUGAUGGAAUUGAGCUUGUGAAGGUUCCAUCAAGGCGGCAGGGUAUCAACUAUCAACACGUGGUGCCCUUGAUCUCGCAGGUAUGGGGUUCUGUAUGAGCUGCCAGUGACAGGCAGCAUUGAUGCAGUGCUGCUCAAAAUGUAUGCUAGGCAGUGCCAUCUUUCAAGAGGGAGACCAGAAAAAAAACCCAGUCCAUGUUGCUUGACUGAAGGUUAAGUGUUACGUAAAGGCUGGAUUGGCUCUUGGUUCUUGAAUUUGAUGAGAAGAGCGAACAGAGGAUUUAGUGGUUGUCUUACUCUAAGCUUUAUGCUGUGCUUUUUAAAGCAAAGGCCAGCCUGUGAGAUAUGAGGUGCAGGGCACGACCACACUCACCUUCAUUGCAAAGAAGUACCCUCCUCCGUGCUACUGCCAAGCGUUUCUACAUCUCAUCUUAGAAGUAUGUUACAACCUGAAGUAUCUAGAGAAAAUUGGUAUCUUCACUGCUAUGCUCAUAUGGAAGUCAGAAGUGUGCUCGUUUGCAGUGGUUGUUACUAAGGAUAGCUAUAUAUUUGCAUCAAGUGUUAUCUACUACAAAUUAAAAAUUUAUAAAAUAAGUAUUCUAAUUAAUCUUUCAUAAUAUCGUUUGCAGUGCUGCCUAAUAUUUAUUAUUUGGAUGUUUGUAGCAAAUAAAUAUCUUCAAUAUCUCAGGCAUAGUUCUCUGUUCAUUUCUCUGCUUAUUACAGCAGCAAGAUAUAUACAAGGUCUGAAGGUCCCAUAUGAAGUGCCAGUCUGUUUAUUCCAGUUUAGAUGAAAAAUUUCAUUCGUGUAACUUGUUAUACCUUUUUUUGCAACGUAUUAAAUUGAAUAAAGCGAAUGAAGCAUUGAGAAUCUAUUUCCAUCUUUUAACACCUAUGGCAAGUUGGCAACCAAAAAAAGAAACCUAAGAGCCAACCAGUUCAGCCUAAGAUGUCUAAAUUACAGAAUUCAGUUAAGAUGUCUAAUUUUGGGACAAAUGUUCUGAUUCAGGUGGCAGCCUAAGAGCCUCCUGAUUUCCGCAGUUAAGUGCCUUGAUUGUUUCUUUAGUAGCAGAUUGUUAUCCAGGAAAGGCUGGCAGAUUUUAGUUACAGGUCAGUGCUGAUUUUCCAAUGGUCUGCCUUUGUUCCAAAAUGAUGCUUCUUUUAUCAAUUGGAAGUUUUAAGUACUGAACUUUGUGCAAAAUAUUCUUAGUGCUUUCAAUCUCUUCUAAAAAAACUAAGUGGCACGAUAAUGUCUUUGAUGAAGGCAUGAGCAUAUACUAUAAUUGUUUUUCAUGUAUAGUAACGCACAAUUCCAAGGUACUAUAGUUUUGUUUUGGCUAUCACACAUAGGCUCUGGACAGAUACACUUUUGGUGAUCCUCCCUGCAUUAGCCAAGCAAAUCACUUGUAUGGCAGUUACACUUUUUUUUUAUAUAGACCUGCUUCUGACUCAAUAAAUCAAUAACUGGCAUGCAUGUAUACUUUUGCUUUUUCACCUUUGCCCUCUGGUGUUUUCUAUUGCCUUUCCUGAAUGUUAUUGUAAACAUCAAUUUUAUGAAAACAUCAUUUUUAAAGCUAUUGUUGCCCAUGCAUGAGGUAUGUGAAAUUUCAACACUUCAUGUUUUUUAUGCUUCAGGCAGUUGUCAGCCUAGCUACCUUCUAUGCUGCUGCUUUGUUCCUCUGUACCGUCAAAAAAUAACAGUAACUUUAUAUUUCAGCCAUUUGUAAUGCACUGCAUUAUCUAAUAUAUCUAUUGGUCUUCUUUCCAGGCAGAGCUAGAGAUUGAGAUUUCCAGUGUAAGUAAACCAUGUAUUCAUCCCUUAAGAUGCAUAUUCAUUCAUGUUGUCGGAUGGAUAGUUCAUACUGUCUGGCCACUUUUUCAUUUCUUCAAAUAGAUGCAUAUUCAAUUAGUCAUUCAUGUUGUCGGAUGGACUACAGUCCAUAUUCACACAGUAACUGAUGUUAUACAUGUUUAUCCAUGUCAGAAAUCAUGUGUAGCACUCUUUAAUUUAUUUUUUUUGAGAUUUGAUUCAACCUGUUGAACCUGACUGUACUGUAAAAGGGUGAGGAAACUGUUAAAUUGAUGCCCAUGCAGUCCAUGGAAACAGUCCUAGAACCCCCUUUCGAGAAACAUGUUCGACGAAGGGUGAGGUUGCGCGUGGGGCAAGAUGGUGGACGACACCUCGACUCCAACAUGUGACGACUUCACCAUCGAUCACGUCCACUUCGAGGUAGCUGGGAGAGUGGGUAGCUCUUCUUCGUCGAGUGUGCCUACCCAAGUCCCCGAGUCGCCACCAACUCCAGCGAGCUCUUCACCAAUGCAAGCGAGUCCUCCACCGACUUCGGUGAGUGCUACUCCAGCUGUGACGAGCUCUUCACCGCCACCACCACAAUCGGCUACGCCACACUCAUGCGCCAGCAGCUACUUCUCCGGGCACGGCUUUGGCAACACCGGUUGGUAGAGAACUCACCUUCCACCCACCCUCUUCUGUCCCAGUUAAUAUUUGAUCCGUGACUAAAGGUUCACCAACCAAGACUAAAACUCAGCUACUGAUGGGGGGCUCACCAAUCGGGACUAAAGAACCCCUUUAGGGCCCGUUUGGCAUGGCUCCACUUCAGAACUCCAGCAACU
Long non-coding RNA from Setaria italica (foxtail millet), 3174 nucleotides. RefSeq lists it as uncharacterized. The transcript has 7 exons. Lineage: Eukaryota; Viridiplantae; Streptophyta; Magnoliopsida; Poales; Poaceae. The record is from RefSeq and is a predicted model, not a curated record.